GUGGUUAAAACGUCACCCUUAUUAACUACGUGGCCAAUGGGCUCUCUCCCUACCACAGUAUAUAAGUGGUUGUUUAGGCCUCCCAGAAGGCGUCAUGGUCAAAAACCCGCCCCUUCCUUUCAUUGCUAUGGACUACAGAGUGUGACGUUGGGCUACCGAGACUCUAUGCAGGUGUGAUGUGCUGCUCACAAUCAGUGUGGUGUGCCGUCAAGGCUCCCAGCUGUGUAGCAUGGUAGUUUAAUGUAGCUCCAGUCGGAGCACCAGCUGUUGCCAUCACAACUAUUGAAGACGCUAUCAUGAUUUUCGUAUGUGCCAUCAUGAGUAUCAUGUCAUCGGAUCACGGUAGGAGCUGAGUGCUUCCUGAGGCUGGGGGGAGUUCUUUGCUGCACCUUAAGCUUUACUUAAUUAAGGGUCGUUAUUAUUGCUGUGUUUAUUUGCAGUGAAUUUUUGUGGGUCUGAUUCUGAUUAGUGGGGUGCUUUUCCCUUUUGUAUAGCUGGUGCUGUCGUACUAGCCUGCCCUUCAUACAGGAAGCCUCAGUCCUACUAUGAUUAUUGUUAACUUCCUCUUGUGACUGUUUUAUCUGACCAAUGCCUGACUGUGUUGGUUGCUUCUUGUAAAAUAAUUCUUGGCCAGUCUUUUUAACUUCAAAAUAAAAUUUAUUUUUGUAUGGAAACCCAUGCCUCUCACCUGUUCUAAGUGGAACGUACUUGCGUGUCUUUAUUUGGGUUAUUUUCCCCGUUUUCUUGAGGUGGUGUAGUUGGUACAAAACGAAACAAAUGAGCCGCAUAGCUGCACGUGCCGUAGUUGUUGCUACGAAACGGGCCACAUUGCUACCCGUGGUGUAGUCGGCAGGAUCUCCAUAGUAUAUUUACGAAAAAAGAGCCACAUUGCUACACGUGGCGUCGUUGGCAGGCUUUACGAGGAUACGUGCCACAUUGCUAAACGUGGCGUAGUUGGCAGGAUUUACAAGGAUACGCGCCACAUUGCUACAUUGUAAUGAAUUGUUCAAAGGUAAUACCGAAAAUUUACAUGUAUUCUAUCAUGCUAUUUUAAAUGUAAAGAAUGUGGCAGCAAGAGAAUUAUACUUAAUCAGUUGUAAUAAAAGAAUAACUCGAUUGCUACUGCAUUCCUGACAAUGACAUUCAAUUUGUUUCUAUCCAAAACCAUUCAAUGACAGUAGCACAGUUUGGCACGUCCUCGGGUGCUUAUUUAAGUAUUAAUUAAUUUCUCCUCUCUUUCUCAACUCCUAAAAGUGUAUGCCACAUUACCUGUCUCCACAUCAACAACUGAACAGUAAUUUUCUGGAAUGGCCAUUAAAACUUGUGAAACCAGACUUCGAAGUCAAUGUAAUGAAGGAAGGCUCUCUGACCUACUGUUACCCUCAGUGGAGUGUGACAUUCCAGUUAACCUUGAAGUCAUUAAAAUAUUUAAAAACACAACAAACAGAUGAGUACUGCUUUAAAUACAGAUAAAUUAUUUAAUAAAUAAUUACAUGUUCAAAUACUGUAAAAUAAAUACAAAAACGUUUGGUUAUGUACAUUAAAGUAAUUUUUUUAAUUUUAUUUUUUUUUUUUGUGCCCUUUUUAGUCCUUCCGCCCCAGCGGACGUCUGUGCACGCCACUGCAUGACAUUUAUGUUGUGGACUCAAAUGCAGUAGUUAUAAGAAAAACAUCCCCACAAAUAACAACAUUGGUAUCACUGAGUUGUGCUUUGUAUCUGAUUGUACCAGCUCACUUAAUUUGCAUCCCAUUAGGACAAACAUAUAAUGUCAAGAGUAGUAAAAUUUGUUGCAUUUUCUAUAUUGAAAUGUUAAAAGUAAGAAAAAAUCUAAAGUUUACACCAUUAUUUCUGAAUUUACUAUAGAUAUUCUCCAGUCACUAGCACUUCCACCCUAUCCAUAGAGAAAAUUUUGGACUUAAUAUGGCAACGAGGAGGCUGCUUAUCUUACAUUUUGCUUUGGAAAUUGAAAAUAAAGGGAGUUUCCACAACUGGACAGCAUUUAGGCUUCAGUUAACAUUCACAAUUAAAACUUGGCAGUGAUGCCAGACAUCUAGUUCAGCCAUGAAACUCUAACCUCAUGCUGAUUGGCUCCCUCAAUGCCCAUGCAUCAGCCUAUCAGCCAUGCUUCUUUGCCUAUGUAACCCUUUAUGAUCCCGACUAACUCGCUGGCUACUGCCUGCACACACUACAAAAUUUCCGCAUCCUAGGCCAGUAAAACACUGACAAUUGUAAUCAAUUGUCAUUUUUUCCAAAGAAAAAACAUCAAUUCCACAUGAUUCAGCUAAUUAAACAUUUUCCAGGUGGUGCUGGGUUUUAUUAGGAGUGUGCCCUUUUUUCACAUUUGCCCAAGCAGCAUGGAGCCCUAUUGCCUUAUAGCGAUCCUGUAGUCACCAACUGAUUAUCCGUUCUACUGCCUUUCGCAAAAAAAAAAUUAAAAACUUGGCACACACUCACCCCAACAUGCACUCACCCUAUGAGCCGUACACUUAUAUAGUCUAAAUUGAUGACACCCGGGGUACAUAUAGACCCUACGUCACAGUUAAAUAAGUUCUGGGCUCACAUAUUCAGCUAGGCCAUUGAUUAAUAUUCUUCUGGGUUAGCAGUGGUUUUUGCCUCUCCAAACUUCCAUAGAUGCAAUUUUUGCCCAGUGUCUUUCGAUAGUGGAGUCAUGAACCUUUAUUGAUGCAAGAGAGGCCUGUAGGUCAUUUAACUUUGUCCUUGGCUCUUUUGUGACUUGCUAGAUGAGGCGUUGCUGUGCUCUUGGAGGAAUUGUGGAUGGUCGGCCAUUUCUAGGAAGGUUCCCUACUGUGCCAAGUUUUUUCCAUUUGGAGAUAAUGACUCACACUGUGGUCCUUUGGGGUCCCAGAGCCUAUGAAAUAGCUUUGUAGCCCUUCCCAGACUGAUAUAUUUCCAUCACUUUCUUCCUCAACAUUUCAGGAAUUUCUUUAAAUUUUGGCAUAGUGUGUUACUGUGCAAGACCUUUUAACCAACUCCAUGCUGUUGAAAUAGUUCUAUUUAAGUGUUGAUUUCAGUACAGCCCUGUAUUUCAGUACAGCCCGUCUUCUUGGUUUGGCGGGGGGUUUCUCUUUCUGUACCCUUUGCAGCAGCAGCAUGCUUCUCUUCUUUUCUAUGUCUGUGCAUGUCUAUCAGAGCUAGUAUUCAUACUCGCUCCUCAGAAGCAGCAUAACAGAUCUAGUCCGCCAAGACCAAACCUAUUUACAAUCUCACAAUGUAAUUUUGAAAGUUCUUGUGACUGAAAUAGGGUUAGGAUAGACUGGGGCAUGUUGUCACAUGUUUUGCUCUUUCUUUCUUUGGAAUGCUAUAUUGCAGUGGAAUACAUGUCAUACCAAAUGAAAGAAUGAAGUCUCAGGCACAUAUUUUGUAUUAUUAUAUCUUUAUAUAUUUUCAGUAUGGCAUUAUAGACAGUUAAGUACAGAAUUUGCAUCAGAUCUCCAUCAGUGGGUAAGUUGUCAAGUUAUUAUUUUUAACACAGAUUUUUCUUCAAUUUCAAAUUCCAAACCAAAUACAUGUUAAUUAGAAAAAAGACAAUGGAAGAGCGACAAUGUUGAUUUAAGUAUAGGAGGCAUAUGAUCAACAGUGGUUUGCUCCAGUAGCCCAACCUAAACACUGUCUUAUUUAUUGCCAAAAUAAAACCACAUUUCUACAAAUAAAGAAAUAUACUUUUAUUUACUACACAGCAAACAUGCAUCCCAUAUUGGCUCAUCAUGGGCAGCCCAUAUCAGGCCACUGGGGAUUUGUACAUUGACGUGACAUUGGUCCCACAGCAUUGGCCCAAUGUAGGCAGCCCACAUUAUUCCAGUCAGGGUGUGCACUUUGGUGGGCUGCCCACAUUGGGCCAGUGCUGCGGGGCCGAUGUUGCACCUAUGUGCUGAUUCUAAAAUAUAUAGAAAAACAUAAACAUAAGAGAAAAUGUGUGGUCCAAAAAAUUUCACACUGAUUAUAAAAUUGAUUAUAGUACCUAAGCGAAUUUUUGGUAUUCUAUGAUCGGCCACGCCUACUUCAAUCAAAAGGUGCAAGCUAUUUGUUGGUACCUGGAAUAGCGAAGGCUACAGCAGGGGGAAGAGCUUUCUCUUACAAAGCCCCACAGUUAUGAAACUGCAUUCUCUGGGGCUUUAACCAAAACAUCUGAGGCUGGACACACACACACACAUUCACAACCAUUUUGCUCAUUGAUUUAUUUGCCUUGCCACUGGCUGGACUGGCUGUGUUUCUCUGGAAAACAACAACAACAAAUGGAUCUAACUAUAUAUGGCUGUAUGCUCUGCCUGUUUAAAAUUCAUAUUUUGGGCAUUACAGUAAUUAUAAUGUCGUUCAUUUACUCAAACCAUGAUAAUUAUUUUAUACUGUCAAGUAUUGUUGUCAAUGUCAAUAAUCUUAAUAAGAUUUAACUGCAUCAUUACACAAGUAAAUAUUAACAGCAACUAACACACACCAGGACACAAAAAAGCCAAACUCAAGCACUUGUGCAGUAAAGGCACUGUUAGAGUAUUUUAUAAUUAGUUAUAGUUUUAAAAUAAUCCUAAUUUAUAAU
Ictalurus furcatus (blue catfish) is the source of this 4553-nucleotide long non-coding RNA. RefSeq lists it as uncharacterized. The transcript has 3 exons. The record is from RefSeq and is a predicted model, not a curated record. Lineage: Eukaryota; Metazoa; Chordata; Actinopteri; Siluriformes; Ictaluridae.